CUCGUGUCGUGAGAUGUUCGGGUUAAGUCCCGCAACGAGCGCAACCCCCGCCUUUAGUUGCUACCAUUCAGUUGAGCACUCUAAAGGGACCGCCGGCGUUAAGCCGGAGGAAGGUGGGGAUGACGUCAAGUCCUCAUGGCCCUUAUGUCCAGGGCUACACACGUGCUACAAUGGGCGGUACAGAGGGUUGCCAACCCGCGAGGGGGAGCCAAUCCCAGAAAGCCGUCCUCAGUUCAGAUUGGAGUCUGCAACUCGACUCCAUGAAGGUGGAAUCGCUAGUAAUCGCGGAUCAGCAUGCCGCGGUGAAUACGUUCCCGGGCCUU
Molecule: ribosomal RNA, 323 nt
Filed under: uncultured delta proteobacterium
Lineage: Bacteria; Deltaproteobacteria
Description: bacterial SSU rRNA
Rfam family: Bacterial small subunit ribosomal RNA
Source: RNAcentral